Molecule: ribosomal RNA, 336 nt
Filed under: uncultured bacterium
Lineage: Bacteria
Description: bacterial SSU rRNA
Rfam family: Bacterial small subunit ribosomal RNA
Source: RNAcentral
ACUCCUACGGGAGGCAGCAGUGGGGAAUAGUUGCACAAUGGGGGAAACCCUGAUGCAGCCAUGCCGCGUGUGUGAAGAAGGCCUUCGGUUGUAAGCACUUUCAGUAGGGAGGAAGGUAGUGUAGUUAACACCUGCAUUAUUUUGACGUUACCUACAGAAGAAGCACCGGCUAACUCCGUGCCAGCAGCCGCGGUAAUACGGAGGGUGCGAGCGUUAAUCGGAAUUACUGGGCGUAAAGCGCAUGCAGGCGGCCUGUUAAGUCAGAUGUGAAAGCCCGGGGCUUAACCUCGGAAUUGCAUUUGAAACUGGCAGGCUAGAGUCUUGUAGAGGGGGGUA